RNAcentral lists this ribosomal RNA (484 nucleotides) under uncultured bacterium. RNAcentral describes it as "partial 16S ribosomal RNA". It matches the Rfam family "Bacterial small subunit ribosomal RNA", at positions 30 to 507 of the family's 1533-position model. The record is from RNAcentral.
AUUGAACGCUGGCGGCAGGCCUAACACAUGCAAGUCGAGCGGAUGAAGGAAGCUUGCUCCUGUAUUCAGCGGCGGACGGGUGAGUAAUGCCUAGGAAUCUGCCUUGUAGUGGGGGCUAAGGUCCGUAAACGGGCGCUAAUACCGCAUACGUCCUGAGGGAGAACGUGGGGGAUCUUCGGACCUCACGCUAUCAGAUGAGCCUAGGUCGCAUUAGCUAGUUGGUGGGGUAAGGGCCUACCAAGGCGACGAUCCGUAACUGACCUGAGAGGCUGAUCAGCCACACUGGAACUGAGACACGGUCCAGACUCCUACGGGAGGCAGCAGUGGGGAAUAUUGGACAAUGGGCGAAAGCCUGACCCAGCCAUGCCGCGUGUGUGAAGAAGGUCUUCGGAUCGUAAAACUCUGUAAGUUGGGAAGAAGGACAGUGAGUUAAUACCUGGCUGUUUUGACGUUACCAACAGAAUAAGCACCGGCUAACUUCGUG